Triplophysa rosa is the source of this 660-nucleotide long non-coding RNA. RefSeq lists it as uncharacterized. The record is from RefSeq and is a predicted model, not a curated record. The transcript has 4 exons. Lineage: Eukaryota; Metazoa; Chordata; Actinopteri; Cypriniformes; Nemacheilidae.
GUCCACAAACACCUUUGGGGGAGUUACAUGAAGUUGAGUUGCUCACUUGUGUGAAAGAAAGAGACACAGAGUGAAGAGGUUGUGAGAGAGAGAGAGAGAGAGAGAGAGAGAGAGAGAGAUGGUUGAUCAGACACAAGUGAUGUUAUAUCAGAUGAGACACACAGAUGCUUUCCUUCAAGAUAGGAAGCACGGAGGCUAGAGAUGAAGACAAGUGCAGCAAACAAUAGGACGAUAUAUUGUACUGGAGUGCAUCAGCAUGCAGGACACAUGUGUGCAGAGCCUGUGAGCUGCCCAUUGAUAAAAAUGUCUCGGUAAGAACCGCCACGUUGACCUGAUAGGUCAGAAUCAAGAGGUGCCACCCACCUGAGACCCUGCCUCUCUUUAAAGGAGUCAGACUGGCAACAAGCAACUCAAUUACAGUGUGGCGGUAAAAUGGGGAGACAAGAAAAGAUGGAGACAAGAAUGAGAAAAGAAGACAGAUUGAGAUUCAAAGAGACAGAUCUGAGACGAAGGUUUUCUGCUCUACUGGACUCCAGAGAGAACAUGACACAUCAUUUCCAGCGCUUGAGUUUAACACACCUGUUUUGGAGGAUGGAUGACGUUUCUCUUUCUGCUCAGUCUAUGUGCUGUGAACAGGAGAAGGUUCUGGACACGUGUGUG